UACGGAGGGAUCGAACGUUAAUCGGAAUUACUGGGCGUAAAGCGCGCGUAGGCGGUUUGAUAAGUGGGAUGUGAAAGCCCCGGGCUUAACCUGGGAACUGCAUUCCAAACUGUCAGACUAGAGUAUGGUAGAGGGUGGUAGAAUUUCCUGUGUAGCGGUGAAAUGCGUAGAUAUAGGAAGGAAUACCGAUGGCGAAGGCAGCCACCUGGACCAAUACUGACGCUGAGGUGCGAAAGCGUAGGGAGCAAACAGG
Molecule: ribosomal RNA, 253 nt
Filed under: uncultured bacterium
Lineage: Bacteria
Description: partial 16S ribosomal RNA
Rfam family: Bacterial small subunit ribosomal RNA
Source: RNAcentral